GCCGUUGCCAUCUCAUCCCCCAGGCAAGCUCUCUUUCCCUUAUUAUUAUCAACCUAUUUUCGAACAAUAUAAACCUAUGUUAUUCAGAAUUAAAGUGAGUGUGGGGAUAUCUAAAUAUGUGCCGACAUGAAUGUCAGAAGAAAAAUAGUAACAUAGUUAACCAUGCUAAAUGUCUGCACAUGUAAGUGUAUUAGAAAUGAUGAACUGGUAGUUAACCAUCUAUAAGUGAUCAUGCUACACUGAUGGGGUAGGAAUUUUCCAGCUAUUUACAUGUGAUAGAAUUCUUUGGUUAAAAUGGUGUAAACAAAAACUAGAAAUAAUAGUUGAGGCGAUCAGGUUAUGAUGUGUAAGAAAUGUUUACAGUUCCCAGAGGAGUGGAUCAGUAGUGAGGACAACAAAGGCUUCUUUCCUUACAGGGAAGAAACUUCGAUCAGUCAAAAAGUACACAAAACCAGCAGCAGUCCGAACCGUUCCGGUGUGUGCAGUGGCUGACCCCGACCGACCUCUUUGGUUCCCAGGCAGUACUCCUCCUCCAUGGCUCGAUGGCAGCCUCCCUGGAGACU
Molecule: long non-coding RNA, 563 nt
Filed under: Gossypium barbadense (sea-island cotton)
Lineage: Eukaryota; Viridiplantae; Streptophyta; Magnoliopsida; Malvales; Malvaceae
Description: long non-coding RNA (GBAR_LNC011766)
Source: RNAcentral